AACUUUUGGCAACGGAUCACUUGGCACUCGCAUCGAUGAAGAACGCAGCGAAAUGCGAUAAGUAAUGUGAAUUGCAGAAUUCAGUGAAUCAUCGAAUCUUUGAACGCACCUUGCACUCCUUGGUAUUCCGAGGAGUAUGCCUGUUUGAGUGUCAUUAAUAUAUCAACCUCUCAAGCUUUUGCUCGUGGAGUGUAUGGAUGUGGGGGGAUUAUUUUGCUGGCCUUUUCAUGAGGUCGGCUCCCCUGAAAUGCAUUGGCAGAAUGAUUUUGCUGACCGUUUAUUGGUGUGAUAACUAUCUACGCUGUUGACGUGAAGCAAGUUCAGCUUAUAAUGGUCCAUUGACUUGGACAACAUAUUUAUUAAUGUGACCUCAAAUCAGGUAGGACUACCCGCUGAACUUAAGCAUAUCAAUAAGCGGAGGCU
This 423-nucleotide unclassified non-coding RNA is filed under the name uncultured Cortinarius. Its description in RNAcentral is "sequence contains ITS2". The stretch from base 1 to 154 matches the Rfam family "5.8S ribosomal RNA". The record is from RNAcentral. Lineage: Eukaryota; Fungi; Basidiomycota; Agaricomycetes; Agaricales; Cortinariaceae.